This 1738-nucleotide unclassified non-coding RNA is filed under the name Hevea brasiliensis (rubber tree). Lineage: Eukaryota; Viridiplantae; Streptophyta; Magnoliopsida; Malpighiales; Euphorbiaceae. The record is from RNAcentral.
GCUGCUUAGAGUAAUAUAUAUAUACUGUUCAGAGAUAACAUUAUUCAGCUAGAACUCAAAUAAUUUCUGAUCAAAUCAUUUUUACUAUGCCUCAAAUAUUCUAAUUAUACAAUAAAUCAGGGAAGUACAUGCAUUGCUUACUAUGGAGCAGUGGUAACAUUUCAAAUCUAGACAUCAAACAGCAAUCAAAGUGGAAAUGAAAGCGUUCUUUGUUACUCAUAUGAUUUUGAAGUAGGGGAAGUAUUGUUGCAAUUGCACGAUUCCCAUGGCGAACUAUCAAUUUCAUCAUAAUUCAAUUGAUGCAUCUUGGAAUGCUAAAUAUACCAUUUUCAACGGUUGUAGUCUCGAGCACGGAAAUCAUUAUCUGCUUUCCCAAUUGGGGACAUUGGGAGAGCUACAUCAUUUAUUGCACCAGCUCCAGUCUCCAUGCCUAUUAGAGGAUCAGAUUCAUCUUCUUUGGUCUGAAGUUGUACUGAUGCUUCUGUAGCUUUUUUCUGACCUUCACGAGUGCAAUAAUAUGAAUAAAGAACCAUUCCCAGCAUAGCAACAAAGAUCCCAAGAAUAUUCCUCCAGUUGAAUGGGUCAUGAAGCAAGAUAUAUCCAAAAGCUAAUACUAGACAAGUUUUAAGAUGGCCAAGGACUUGGUAGGUGACAGGGGAUGUUUUUCCAAUCACAAGGAAUGUGCUAAAGUUAACAGAGACUGAGAUCAAGCAGGACAUAGCAAUGAAAGUCAGCACUUGUGGCGUAUAUCUGAAGGCAAAUACAUUUUGCUGAGUCAAAAACUUAUCCAGAAACGGACCAGAGACGAACAAAGUCAUGGCUUGAUAAGGACAAGAUUGAUACAACAGUUGUGUUGAAGAAACCUUGAACUUCUUCUGGAUGGUAUUGGUCAUAAUUUGAGCAACACAAGUGGUAAGAACUGCAAGGAGUGACAAGAUAGAACCCAGGAAGUUCAGCUGUAAAUCAGUUACAGUUGCAAUUCCAACACCCAAAAGAAGGACGCAAAGAGAGAGUUGAAUGCUCCGACUGAAUUUCUUGCUGAGGAAAAUUGUCUCUAAAAAUACAGUGCAUGGUAUGAUUGCAAGCUUCGUCAUCUGAUAAAAACCAACAGAAUUGAAACCAAGGCUAAGGUUUAGCAACCCAAUUGAUAUUCCAUUCAGAAUACCAAAUCCAACAACAGUUCUUGGAUCAAAAGGUUUGUGUUCAAAUAGCUUCAUCCAUAGCGCCACAUGGAGGGAGCAAAAAGUGACCAGUAGAUGCCAGCUCGUCAAAGUUGUAGCAAAACGAAAACCUAAAGAGCUCAUAAGCGCUUUAUUGCAUAUCACAAUAGAUACUGACGAAACAACAGAUAGAGACAAAGCUCCAAUGGUGCCAAGCUGAAAGCGCUUGUUCUCACUCAUCCUUUCAGCUACAGCUCCUUGCUCCGCUAAUUUAUAUCUGAAAGAAAUACUUCCCAAAAACCAGCAACAAAUUUGAUCCAACACCACAAAUUCUUCACGCUACCAUUUCCAAAAUUCCAUAUAAUUACAGAUCCAAUCAAGUUAACAAGCCUGUAUAUGUGUAUUUUGUAUGGAUUUGAGAAAUUUUUCGACUUAAAUUUUAGGGCAAAAGGUUGUGCAGUCAGUUCCAAGUUCCAACUACAGCGAGUGUAUACAGAGAGUUUGAUAAUUUUGUAUCCUGGAAAUGUGAGUAAAUUAUAUGUAUGCAAAUCUCAGUCAAAAUCUGAGAAGGGGGGAGG